AACGAACGCUGGCGGCAUGCCUAACACAUGCAAGUCGAACGAGACCUUCGGGUCUAGUGGCGCACGGGUGCGUAACGCGUGGGAACCUGCCCUUAGGUUCGGAAUAACUCCCCGACAGGGGUGCUAAUACCGGAUAAUGUCUUCGGACCAAAGAUUUAUCGCCUUUGGAUGGGCCCGCGUUGGAUUAGCUAGUUGGUAGGGUAAAAGCCUACCAAGGCGACGAUCCAUAGCUGGUCUGAGAGGCUGAUCAGCCACACUGGGACUGGGACACGGCCCAGACUCCUACGGGAGGCAGCAGUGGGUAAUAUUGGACAAUGGGCGAAAGCCUGAUCCAGCAAUGCCGCGUGAGUGAUGAAGGCCUUAGGGUUGUAAAGCUCUUUUACCCGGGAUGAUAAUGACAGUACCGGGAGAAUAAGCUCCGGCUAACUCCGUG
This 433-nucleotide ribosomal RNA is filed under the name uncultured bacterium. Its description in RNAcentral is "partial 16S ribosomal RNA". It matches the Rfam family "Bacterial small subunit ribosomal RNA", at positions 29 to 507 of the family's 1533-position model. The record is from RNAcentral.